GACGAACGCUGGCGGCGUGCUUAACAAAUGCAAGUCGAACGGAAAGGCCCUGCUUUUGGGGGGUGCUCGAGUGGCGAACGGGUGAGUAACACGUGAGUAACCUGCCCUUGACUUUGGGAUAACUUCAGGAAACUGGGGCUAAUACCGGAUAGGAGCUCCUGCUGCAUGGUGGGGGUUGGAAAGUUUCGGCGGUUGGGGAUGGACUCGCGGCUUAUCAGCUUGUUGGUGGGGUAGUGGCUUACCAAGGCUUUGACGGGUAGCCGGCCUGAGAGGGUGACCGGCCACAUUGGGACUGAGAUACGGCCCAGACUCCUACGGGAGGCAGCAGUGGGGAAUAUUGCACAAUGGGCGGAAGCCUGAUGCAGCAACGCCGCGUGCGGGAUGACGGCCUUCGGGUUGUAAACCGCUUUCGCCUGUGACGAAGCGUGAGUGACGGUAAUGGGUAAAGAAGCACCGGCUAGCUACGUG
This 468-nucleotide ribosomal RNA is filed under the name uncultured bacterium. RNAcentral describes it as "partial 16S ribosomal RNA". It matches the Rfam family "Bacterial small subunit ribosomal RNA", at positions 28 to 507 of the family's 1533-position model. The record is from RNAcentral.